UACGGGGGGAGCAAGCGUUGUUCGGAUUUACUGGGCGUAAAGGGCGCGUAGGCGGCCUCUGCAAGUCGACUGUGAAAUCUCCGGGCUUAACCCGGAACGGUCAGCCGAUACUGCAGGGCUAGAGUGCAGAAGGGGCAACUGGAAUUCUCGGUGUAGCGUGAAAUGCGUAGAUAUCGAGAGGAACACCUGCGGCGAAGGCGGGUUGCUGGGCUGAUACUGACGCUGAGGCGCGAAAGCCAGGGGAGCGAACGGG
This 253-nucleotide ribosomal RNA is filed under the name uncultured bacterium. RNAcentral describes it as "partial 16S ribosomal RNA". It matches the Rfam family "Bacterial small subunit ribosomal RNA", at positions 524 to 776 of the family's 1533-position model. The record is from RNAcentral.